Molecule: ribosomal RNA, 301 nt
Filed under: uncultured bacterium
Lineage: Bacteria
Description: partial 16S ribosomal RNA
Rfam family: Bacterial small subunit ribosomal RNA
Source: RNAcentral
CAGUAGCCACGGUAAUACGAAGGGGGCUAGCGUUGUUCGGAAUUACUGGGCGUAAAGCGCACGUAGGCGGAUACUUAAGUCAGGGGUGAAAUCCCGGGGCUCAACCCCGGAACUGCCUUUGAUACUGGGUAUCUCGAGUCCGGAAGAGGUGAGUGGAAUUCCGAGUGUAGAGGUGAAAUUCGUAGAUAUUCGGAGGAACACCAGUGGCGAAGGCGGCUCACUGGUCCGGUACUGACGCUGAGGUGCGAAAGCGUGGGGAGCAAACAGGAUUAGAUACCCCAGUAGUCCCUGUCUCUUAUAC